This 253-nucleotide ribosomal RNA is filed under the name uncultured bacterium. Its description in RNAcentral is "partial 16S ribosomal RNA". It matches the Rfam family "Bacterial small subunit ribosomal RNA", at positions 524 to 776 of the family's 1533-position model. The record is from RNAcentral.
UACCGAGGUCUCAAGCGUUGUUCGGAUUCAUUGGGCGUAAAGGGUGCGUAGGCGGCGCGGUAAGUCGGGUGUGAAAUCUCGGAGCUUAACUCCGAAACUGCAUUCGAUACUGGCGUGCUUGAGGACUGGAGAGGAGACUGGAAUUCAUGGUGUAGCAGUGAAAUGCGUAGAGAUCAUGAGGAAGACCAGUGGCGAAGGCGGGUCUCUGGACAGUUCCUGACACUGAGACACGAAGGCCAGGGGAGCGAACAGG